GCCUUCGUGGUGUAGUGGUCAGUACGGUCGGCUCAUAUUCGAGAGGUCCGUGGUUCGAGUCCCGACGAGGGCA
Molecule: transfer RNA, 73 nt
Filed under: Stegodyphus mimosarum
Lineage: Eukaryota; Metazoa; Arthropoda; Arachnida; Araneae; Eresidae
Rfam family: tRNA
About the family: Transfer RNA (tRNA) molecules are approximately 80 nucleotides in length.
Source: Rfam by way of RNAcentral